RNAcentral lists this small RNA (58 nucleotides) under Arabidopsis thaliana (thale cress). RNAcentral's name for it is "ATSL250250". The record is from RNAcentral. Lineage: Eukaryota; Viridiplantae; Streptophyta; Magnoliopsida; Brassicales; Brassicaceae.
CCUCUUCUCUCUCUCUCUCUCUCUCUCUCUUCUCUCAGUCGGAAGCAGAGGAGCCAAA